UUCUGUUUGAUCCUGGCGGAGGCUACUGCUAUUGGGAUUCGAUUAAGCCAUGCGAGUUGAAUGAAUUUAGAUUCAUGGCGUACGGCUCAGUAACACGUGGAUAACUUACCCUUAGGACUGGGAUAACUCUGGGAAACUGGGGAUAAUACCGGAUAUUAGGCUAUGGCUGGAAUGCUUUGCCUUUGAAAUGUUUCUUGUAUUCGCCUAAGGAUAGAUCUGCGGCUGAUUAGGUCGUUGGUGGGGUAAUGGCCCACCAAGCCUAUGAUCGGUACGGGUUGUGAGAGCAAGAGCCCGGAGAUGGAACCUGAGACAAGGUUCCAGACCCUACGGGGUGCAGCAGGCGCGAAACCUCCGCAAUGUACGAAAGUGCGACGGGGGGAUCCCAAGUGUUAUUCUUAAUAGGAUAACUUUUCAUUAGUGUAAAAAGCUUUUAGAAUAAGAGCUGGGCAAGACCGGUGCCAGCCGCCGCGGUAACACCGGCAGCUCAAGUGGUAGCUGUUUUUAUUGGGCCUAAAGCGUUCGUAGCCGGUUUGAUAAGUCUUUGGUGAAAGCUUAUGGCUUAACUGUAAGAAUUGCUGAAGAUACUGUCAGACUUGAAGUCGGGAGAGGUUAGAGGUACUACCGGGGUAGGGGUGAAAUCCCUAUAUCCUGGGAGGACCACUGUGGCGAAGCGUCUACUGGACGAUCUUGAGGUGAGUACGAAAGCAGGGCGCGAACCGGNUGAUACCGGUAGUCUGGCGUAACAUGUGACUUGUGUGAAAUGCUCAGUGUCAGGCCAAGGACUGUAGUCACGCUGGAGUACGCCAGAUGACUUAAGAUGCGGGACACCACCUGAGCUGCGUAUGAUCACGCGAUUACAGAGACCUGUCACGUGAACUAUGAUCUAAGAGCUGCCUACCCACGGCCGU
RNAcentral lists this ribosomal RNA (908 nucleotides) under uncultured rumen archaeon. Its description in RNAcentral is "bacterial SSU rRNA". It matches the Rfam family "Archaeal small subunit ribosomal RNA". The record is from RNAcentral.